UUUGCUCUGACCUCGGAUCAGGUA
RNAcentral lists this ribosomal RNA (24 nucleotides) under Camarosporidiella celtidis. Its description in RNAcentral is "partial 28S ribosomal RNA". Lineage: Eukaryota; Fungi; Ascomycota; Dothideomycetes; Pleosporales. The record is from RNAcentral.